RNAcentral lists this ribosomal RNA (497 nucleotides) under uncultured bacterium. Its description in RNAcentral is "partial 16S ribosomal RNA". It matches the Rfam family "Bacterial small subunit ribosomal RNA", at positions 28 to 507 of the family's 1533-position model. The record is from RNAcentral.
GAUGAACGCUGGCGGCGUGCCUAAUACAUGCAAGUCGAGCGAACAGAUGAGGAGCUUGCUCCUCUGACGUUAGCGGCGGACGGGUGAGUAACACGUGGAUAACCUACCUAUAAGACUGGGAUAACUUCGGGAAACCGGAGCUAAUACCGGAUAAUAUAUUGAACCGCAUGGUUCAAUAGUGAAAGACGGUUUUGCUGUCACUUAUAGAUGGAUCCGCGCCGCAUUAGCUAGUUGGUAAGGUAACGGCUUACCAAGGCGACGAUGCGUAGCCGACCUGAGAGGGUGAUCCGCCACACUGGAACUGAGACACGGUCCAGACUCCUACGGGAGGCAGCAGUAGGGAAUCUUCCGCAAUGGGCGAAAGCCUGACGGAGCAACGCCGCGUGAGUGAUGAAGGUCUUCGGAUCGUAAAACUCUGUUAUUAGGGAAGAACAAAUGUGUAAGUAACUAUGCACGUCUUGACGGUACCUAAUCAGAAAGCCACGGCUAACUACGUG